GAUGAACGCUGGCGGCGUGCCUAAUACAUGCAAGUCGAGCGAACAGACGAGGAGCUUGCUCCUCUGACGUUAGCGGCGGACGGGUGAGUAACACGUGGAUAACCUACCUAUAAGACUGGGAUAACUUCGGGAAACCGGAGCUAAUACCGGAUAAUAUAUUGAACCGCAUGGUUCAAUAGUGAAAGACGGUUUUGCUGUCACUUAUAGAUGGAUCCGCGCCGCAUUAGCUAGUUGGUAAGGUAACGGCUUACCAAGGCGACGAUGCGUAGCCGACCUGAGAGGGUGAUCGGCCACACUGGAACUGAGACACGGUCCAGACUCCUACGGGAGGCAGCAGUAGGGAAUCUUCCGCAAAGGGCGAAAGCCUGACGGAGCAACGCCGCGUGAGUGGUGAAGGUCUUCGGAUCGUAAAACUCUGUUAUUAGGGAAGAACAAACGUGUAAGUAACUAUGCACGUCUUGACGGUACCUAAUCAGAAAGCCACGGCUAACUACGUG
RNAcentral lists this ribosomal RNA (497 nucleotides) under uncultured bacterium. RNAcentral's name for it is "partial 16S ribosomal RNA". It matches the Rfam family "Bacterial small subunit ribosomal RNA", at positions 28 to 507 of the family's 1533-position model. The record is from RNAcentral.